UACAGUUUCUACAAAGAAUGUUUACUACCGGAAAUUGUGAACCCGCAGUAUGGAAAGAGACUUUUGGUUACCGAUAUUAAAGAACCGGCUCAUAUACUUAACAAUAUAAAGAAUAAAAAACAAAAAAGUGGGGUGAAGUAGAGUAGCUGAUGACGGGAAAAUUAAACAUUUAUUCCACCAAAAACAGAUUUUCCAAUCUCAGUAUGAUUCAUUGCUCCAGUUGCAAGAUCGGUCAAUGGAAUCAAACCAGCAUAUAAUUUGGUCUGUUUUUUCCACUCGUUUAGUUACAUUACAGUUUGAAACACUACUGCACCGGAAGGAGAGUCAAGAUUUUUUGCUGCCAACCAACAGGCAGUUACAUUACUAAUACAAUGUGUUGAUUUAUGUGGUGUCACUACGUUGUAGUAACUAUACAUUUGGGAAAUGUGUAAAUAAUCUAAAUUUGAA
Acyrthosiphon pisum (pea aphid) is the source of this 447-nucleotide long non-coding RNA. RefSeq lists it as uncharacterized. The transcript has 3 exons. NCBI's taxonomy places the organism in Eukaryota, Metazoa, Arthropoda, Insecta, Hemiptera, Aphididae. The record is from RefSeq and is a predicted model, not a curated record.